CUCCGUCCCAUAAUAAGUGUAGCCAUGAGUUUCCGCGCCUAACUUUGAUCGUUCGUCUUAUUUGAAAUUUUUUUAUAAUUAGCAUUUUUGUUGUUAUGAGAUGAUAAAACAUGAAUAGUACUUUACUUGUAACUUAUGUUUUUAAUUUUUUUCAAAAAAUUUUCAAAUAAAACGAACGGUCAAAGUUGGGCGUGGAAAACCAUGGCUGCACUUAUUUUGGGACGGAGGAA
This 230-nucleotide microRNA precursor is filed under the name Oryza sativa (Asian cultivated rice). RNAcentral describes it as "partial microRNA MIR433a-38 precursor". The stretch from base 12 to 216 matches the Rfam family "MIR812 microRNA precursor family". The record is from RNAcentral. Lineage: Eukaryota; Viridiplantae; Streptophyta; Magnoliopsida; Poales; Poaceae.